AGGACGAACGCUGGCGGCGUGCUUAACACAUGCAAGUCGAACGGUGAAGCCCUUUCGGGGUGGAUCAGUGGCGAACGGGUGAGUAACACGUGAGCAACCUGCCCUUGACUCUGGGAUAACUUCGGGAAACCGGAAGCUAAUACCGGAUAUGACACGCGGAGGCAUCUCCUGUGUGUGGAAAGAUUUAUUGGUCAAGGAUGGGCUCGCGGCCUAUCAGCUAGUUGGUGGGGUAAUGGCCUACCAAGGCGACGACGGGUA
Molecule: ribosomal RNA, 258 nt
Filed under: uncultured bacterium
Lineage: Bacteria
Description: partial small subunit ribosomal RNA
Rfam family: Bacterial small subunit ribosomal RNA
Source: RNAcentral